UUUCAGUGUUGAUAUUCCAAUAAACACCUAACAAAGGUCAUGUCUGCUGUGCCCCUCCUCUCUGUCUCCCUCUAGAGCAAGGUGGGCAUGCUGCAGUUGUUUGUGCGGGACCUGAGUGAGCAGAAUGAGGUUCUGAUCCAGGCGCUGGAGGCUGAGGAGGCGGAGGACCGGGUGGUGGAGGGGAGAACAGUCAGCCUUCACAAAGAGCUGGAGGGGAGUACUACUGACUCGACAGGAUCCAGUCCAGUCCCACACCUUACAGAACAGAGGGGCAGAGAACUGCUGAAGACUGAGUUAUCACGUUGGGACGCAACCAUCCAGAGGCUCCAGCGAGAUGUGCUGCUCUCCCACCAGGCCCGCGACUCCCAGUCUGCUCAGCUGGAUGUCCAUGGGCAGAGGAUCUCUCAGCUGCAGACGGAGCUACAGGAGAGACAACUGGAGCUCCAGAGGGGACACAGCCGAAGAGAGCAGCAGCAGAGGGACCUGCAGACCCAGACACAGCAGGCAGAGGAGCUCCACACUCAGCUGGCUGAGGUCAAAGGGCGUCUUGUGCAGGUGGAGGGAGAAAAUGUGGCACUCAUGGGAUAUAAGCUGGAGCUGAGAGCCGAGGCUAAGGAGCAGACCCAAAAGUUCCAGGACACGGUGUCCAGUCUGAAGAGCCAGCAUGGCUGUGUUAGUCAGCAGCUGCAGGACAGGAGUGCUGAGGUGCAGAGGCUCCAGAGGUCAUUGGCUGAGCUACAUGGGCGAGAGAUGGAGUGGGAGAGAGAGACAUCCGCCCUGCAGGGCCAGCUGGGCCUUGCCAGAGAGGAGCUCCACAGCGCCAUCCUCAGGAGGCAGGCACAGCAGCAGAAGGAAGAGCUGUUUGGUGAGCUGCAGAGGGAGGUGGACAGACUGAAGAAUGAGAGACAGGAGAUGCGAAAAAAGCUUUGUGGUAGAGAAGAGGAGCUGAAGAGGCUGAGAGACGAGCAGCAUCAGCUCAAGGACAAGGUGAGGGAGAGCGAUGUGCAGGCUGUGUGGCUGCAGAGCCAGGCAGACGUGGUGGGUCGGGAGCUGUGGGAGGAGAGUGCCCAGCGCGACAGGGAGCUGUGGGAGUGGAGGGACCGCUACCAUGCUGUCUCAGAGGGACUGAGGUUGAGGGAGGCUGGGCUUGAGGAGGUGCAGAGGGCCAGGGACACAGCCCUCAGAAGCCUGAGAUUACAGGAGGAGAAGACCCACAGUCUGGGGGCCCAGAGGCAGGAGAUGCAGCACAGCCUGGAGGGCCUACAGGACAGGCUUGCCCAGAAGGAGGAGAUGGUCGUGGCUCUCAGAGUGAAGCUGCAGGACCAUGAAGAAGACGCCCGUGUUCUCCGCCAACAGCUGCUCUCCUCCCAAGAUGCACUGCAGCAAGUUACUGCCGAGCUGAGGUCAUGUAAAAGAGAGAGGGAGAAGCAGGAUAGCCAGUGUGUGGAGACAGAGGAGAGACUGGCUGAGAUCAGAGCUGAUCUGGUCCAACUACAGCAGCAGUAUACCACCUGCUAUGCCCAGCUGGUCCAGGAGGAGGCUGGGGUGGGCAGGCUGAGGGAGGAGCUGCGACCUGAGCCAUGA
RNAcentral lists this long non-coding RNA (1584 nucleotides) under Salmo trutta (river trout). RNAcentral describes it as "lncRNA (ENSSTUG00000049616.1)". Lineage: Eukaryota; Metazoa; Chordata; Actinopteri; Salmoniformes; Salmonidae. The record is from RNAcentral.